This is a long non-coding RNA of Poecilia latipinna (sailfin molly), 1171 nucleotides long. RefSeq lists it as uncharacterized. The transcript has 2 exons. NCBI's taxonomy places the organism in Eukaryota, Metazoa, Chordata, Actinopteri, Cyprinodontiformes, Poeciliidae. The record is from RefSeq and is a predicted model, not a curated record.
CAGACGCUUGCUGGAGAAAACCCGGAUCCAGGAUCCGAUGUGGCCUGGAUCAGGAUUCCCCGAUCCCAGAUCCAACUCGUGGCUUUUUGGUAAUGACGUCAUUCUUUCGAGACGUAUGGAGACGUACACACAAAACAGCCGUCUGAGCACAAAGGACAGAUUGAUGUUACAGAGGUAAUCAAGCUGCCAAUCGGAGACAGAAAAGGAAGGGAAAUUUGUGAUAUCAGCUUGAUCCAACACCAGGGUUUUAUCAGAGCUUUGACUGGAGUCAGGAUGUUGUGUGGCUGUCAAUGCAAAGGUCAACACAAAACAGAGAUGGUCAAAGGCUACUCUGGAGGAAGGAAAUUGAUUGGACUUAAUCGUGACAUGCUAUUCCAAAGAAAAGGAAACGCAGUCGAUUUGAGUCUAAACACCGAGGGAGUGAAUCGCUGCUCUAAGGCACACACGGACAGACCUGAACGAAGUCAUAUAAUAGUCCUGCUCCAUACUGUUGAAAAGAGCAACAUUUCUAUAAAUACGUAUUAUGAACAGGUUAAUGCCAAGGCUUCAGCUGUUCAGGAAAUUGAGUACUUUUCAAACAGCUGCUGGCUAAGAGGUUUGAUUCCUGCACUUCAGCAGUCCAAGAAGUACUUGACCAAAACAUCUUAGGAUUAUUUAGACGACUGGCUAAAAGCCUCCAACACCGUUUUUUUAUUUAUUUAUUUUUUUUAUCAUUUUGUGACAAAAAAACAACGUUUAAAUCCUGUUAUUGACUGACUGUGAGGCUGCAGCAGAUCCCCGUCAGUGUCAGACAUGUUACACUAUAUAAAAUUCUGAUAGUUAUUUUACAUUUCAUUUUUUAUAUCUCCUGUUUUAGAAUAGGAGACAUAUGUUUCCUAUUGUUUAGAAUAUUUAUCUGCCGUCAUCGGCGGCGUUGCUAGCCAGCCUGCACAUUCAAGGCAGGCUCUGCUGUGGGUGGAGGAGCUGAAGUACAGCGGAGAGCAGAGGGAAGGUGGGUGCAGAGAUCUGCGUUGGACCAACACCAAUCCACAGACUGACAUCUAUCACAUAUAGGUCUCAUGAAAUUACUCAUACCGCUUAAGCUUUUUCCACAUAUUUCCCGUUACAGCCACAAUAUCCAGUGCAUUUUAGUGAUCAGUCAAUAACUGUAAAGCAGAAAGUCAAAAAAAUU